GAUGAACGCUGGCGGUAUGCUUAACACAUGCAAGUCGAACGGACUCUUCGGAGUUAGUGGCGGACGGGUGAGUAACGCGUGAGAAUCUGGCUUUGGGUUCGGGACAACCACUGGAAACGGUGGCUAAUACCGGAUGUGCCGAGAGGUAAAAGAGAAAUUGCCUGAAGAUGAGCUCGCGUCUGAUUAGCUAGUUGGUGAGGUAAAGGCUCACCAAGGCAGCGAUCAGUAGCUGGUCUGAGAGGAUGACCAGCCACACUGGGACUGAGACACGGCCCAGACUCCUGCGGGAGGCAGCAGUGGGGAAUUUUCCGGAAUGGGCGAAAGCCUGACGGAGCAAUACCGCGUGAGGGAAGGAGGCUCUUGGGUUGUAAACCUCUUUUCUUAGGGAAGAACAAAAUGACGGUACCUAAGGAAUCAGCAUCGGCUAACUCCGUG
RNAcentral lists this ribosomal RNA (435 nucleotides) under uncultured bacterium. RNAcentral describes it as "partial 16S ribosomal RNA". It matches the Rfam family "Bacterial small subunit ribosomal RNA", at positions 28 to 507 of the family's 1533-position model. The record is from RNAcentral.